GGAACCAUGGUUCGCGGAGUUGGCGACUCGCCGGACCUGGGUUCCGCCGGAAGGGGGAGCCCGGAGCCUGGGCGUUCGACGGGAGGUGAAGAGCGAGGGCUUGUGGACGGUCACCGGAGACUUGGCUAAGCCCAGGGGGCCGAGGGAGAGGACCCGGGGCUCUCGUUGCGGCAGGAUUGCGCUAAAGAGGCUGGCUGACAGACCUCUAAGGACUGAGCAUACUUUUUGAGUGACAAGAUAGGGAUGCUCAAUGAGACCAUGGCAGGCUGCAGCUGGGACUUUAUCUUUAAUGCAGAUGUCUUCCAAGAAGACCUUCCCUAGUCCACAGUCUGAACUGCUUGACUUUCCUCCUGGCUUUCUGAACAUUCGUUUAUUCACUCAAAGAAAAUAUGUAUUGAGCCCUUAAUUUUGUGUUAGACACUGAACUAGAUACUGAAAAUGUAAUAGUGAACAAGCAAAUGUGGUAAUUACCAGUUGACCUGACAGAGCUUAUAUUCCCAUAAGGAAGGGAGAAGAGUAAAAAAAAAAUAAUGCAUUUCAGUUUGAUUGGCUCCAGGCCUGAGAAGAGCUAAGGAUUGGCCAGGUGGAAGGGGGAAGGGUACAUGUUCCAAGUAGAGGUAACAACUGGGGAGCCCAGCCACGAGAGGGGAGCACAGUCCAGGCACUGAGAUUCCAGACACAGAGCUGGGGAGCUAGCCAGGGACCAGACCCCAAAGAAUGUUACUAGUUGUGUUAAGGGGUUUGGAAUUCUUAAAAGUAAUAGUAAGUUUGAGCAGUUUCAACAUGAUUAGGUUUAUAUUUUAGAUGAUGAUUCUGGCUACUGUGAGAAAAUGGAAUUCAAGAGUGACAAGGAAACCAGGUCAAGAGGGAAAGAAACCAGUUAGGCCAUCAUCAUACUAAACCAGGGAAAAGAGGAUGGCAGCUUGUAUCAGGAUAUUGCCCAGGUGAAUGGGAAUGGAUCCCCGAGGAAUUCAGGAAGUAGAAGAGGCAGACCUUGAUGCCUGAAUGGGGAGGGCAGUAGGGAGGAAAUCAGGGAUAGAGUUCCUCAGACAAGUUCUGAUGAAGACAGGGGCUGCCCUAUUCGCUGUCAUGUAUCCACAGCCUAGCACAAGCCCUUAGACAUUGUGGAUGCUUGAUAAAUAGUUGAAUGAAUGAGUUUCCUGGCUUGGGCACCUAGAUAAAUGGGGUGCCAUUCUCUGAUUCAGAUAACUAGAGGCAGACUCAUUCUGGGAGGUGAGUGGUGAUUGCAUUUUAGACAUGUCAGGCUCCAGGUGCCUGUGGGAGACAAACAUGAAUAUGUCCAGAUACAUGCCAGUUGGAAGAGAUCUGAGGUGCAUUCUUUGUAUGCUUAAAAAAAUUAAAGUUAACAUUGAAUGGAAAUGAUCUGUUCUGUGUCUGUCUCCAUUAAUCCAUGGGAGUGUUUCUCAGUGACUCAGUUCCCGAGCAUCUGCCGCUGUGCCUGGCCCAGACUGAGCCCCCAGGCCGUGUGUGUUGCUGGACUGAACCGCUCUGCUUCAGACCUGGAGCAUCUCACAGGAGAAGUUAGUGUAAGUGGUUGCCUCUGAGGAGGGAAACAGGGUCAGAGUGAAAAGGAGAUUUCUUUUUUUUGCAUACACUUUACUUCUUUAUGCUUUUGUCCUCCAUGUGCUUUUGUUUCCCAUGAAAAAUAAAAA
Molecule: long non-coding RNA, 1673 nt
Organism: Manis pentadactyla (Chinese pangolin)
Lineage: Eukaryota; Metazoa; Chordata; Mammalia; Pholidota; Manidae
Exons: 3
Source: RefSeq, a predicted model, not a curated record